AACGAACGCUGGCGGCAUGCCUAACACAUGCAAGUCGAACGAGACCUUCGGGUCUAGUGGCGCACGGGUGCAUAACGCGUGGGAACCUGCCCUUAGGUUCGGAAUAACUCCCCGAAAGGGGUGCUAAUACCGGAUAAUGUCUUCGGACCAAAGAUUUAUCGCCUUUGGAUGGGCCCGCGUUGGAUUAGCUAGUUGGUAGGGUAAAAGCCUACCAAGGCGACGAUCCAUAGCUGGUCUGAGAGGAUGAUCAGCCACACUGGGACUGAGACACGGCCCAGACUCCUACGGGAGGCAGCAGUGGGGAAUAUUGGACAAUGGGCGAAAGCCUGAUCCAGCAAUGCCGCGUGAGUGAUGAAGGCCUUAGGGUUGUAAAGCUCUUUUACCCGGGAUGAUAAUGACAGUACCGGGAGAAUAAGCGCCGGCUAACUCCGUG
RNAcentral lists this ribosomal RNA (433 nucleotides) under uncultured bacterium. RNAcentral describes it as "partial 16S ribosomal RNA". It matches the Rfam family "Bacterial small subunit ribosomal RNA", at positions 29 to 507 of the family's 1533-position model. The record is from RNAcentral.